GUUAGGAAUAUUGGACAAUGGGCGCAAGCCUGAUCCAGCCAUGCCGCGUGAGUGAUGAAGGCCUUCGGGUUGUAAAGCUCUUUAGCCGAUGAUUAUAAUGACUGUAGUCGGAAAAUAAGCCCCGGCUAACUUCGUGCCAGCAGCCGCGGUAAUACGAAGGGGGCGAGCGUUAUUCGGAAUCACUGGGCGUAAAGCGUGCGUAGGCGGUUUUGUAAGUUAGGAGUGAAAGCCCAGGGCUCAACCCUGGAAUUGCUCUUAAAACUACAAGGCUAGAAUGUCGGAGAGGAUAGCGGAAUUUCCAGUGUAGCAGUGAAAUGCGUAGAUAUUGGAAGGAACACCAGUGGCGUAAGCGGCUAUCUGGACGACUAUUGACGCUGAGGCACGAAAGCGUGGGGAUCAAACAGGAUUAGAAACCCUGGUAGUCC
This 425-nucleotide ribosomal RNA is filed under the name uncultured bacterium. Its description in RNAcentral is "partial 16S ribosomal RNA". It matches the Rfam family "Bacterial small subunit ribosomal RNA", at positions 354 to 796 of the family's 1533-position model. The record is from RNAcentral.